RNAcentral lists this ribosomal RNA (213 nucleotides) under uncultured bacterium. RNAcentral describes it as "partial 16S ribosomal RNA". It matches the Rfam family "Bacterial small subunit ribosomal RNA", at positions 524 to 723 of the family's 1533-position model. The record is from RNAcentral.
UACGAAGGGUGCAAGCGUUACUACGGAAUUGACUGGGCGAUAAAGCGUGCGUAGGUGGUUUGUUAAGUCUGUUGUGAAAAGCCCCCGGGCUCAACCUGGGAAAUUGGGCAAUGGAUUACUAGGCAGGCUGAGAGUGCAGGUAGAGGUAGUGGGAAUUCCCGGUGUAGCGGUGAAAUGCGUAGAGAAUCGGGAGGAACACCAGUGGCGAAGGCG